ACGAACGCUGGCGGCGCGCCUAACACAUGCCAGUCGAACGAGCGAGAGAGAGCUUGCUUUCUCGAGCGAGUGGCGAACGGGUGAGUAACGCGUGAGGAACCUGCCUCAAAGAGGGGGACAACAGUUGGAAACGACUGCUAAUACCGCAUAAGCCCACGGCUCGGCAUCGAGCAGGGGGAAAAGGAGCAAUCCGCUUUGAGAUGGCCUCGCGUCCGAUUAGCUAGUUGGUGAGGUAACGGCCCACCAAGGCGACGAUCGGUAGCCGGACUGAGAGGUUGAACGGCCACAUUGGGACUGAGACACGGCCCAGACUCCUACGGGAGGCAGCAGUGGGGAAUAUUGCACAAUGGGGGAAACCCUGAUGCAGCGACGCCGCGUGGAGGAAGAAGGUCUUCGGAUUGUAAACUCCUGUUGUUGGGGAAGAUAAUGACGGUACCCAACAAGGAAGUGACGGCUAACUACGUG
This 465-nucleotide ribosomal RNA is filed under the name uncultured bacterium. RNAcentral's name for it is "partial 16S ribosomal RNA". It matches the Rfam family "Bacterial small subunit ribosomal RNA", at positions 29 to 507 of the family's 1533-position model. The record is from RNAcentral.